UCAAGAAACUUCCACAAUGGGCGAAAGCCUGAUGGAGCGACGUCGCGUGAUGGACGAAGUGCUUCGGCACGUAAACAUCUUUUAUGUGGGAUGAAAUUAUUGACAGUACCACAUGAAUAAGGGGCUCCUAACUCUGUGCCAGCAGGAGCGGUAAUACAGAGGCCCCAAGCGUUAUCCGGAAUCACUGGGCGUAAAGGGUGUCGAGGCGGUUGUAUUAGUCGUUCGUAAAAUCUACGAGCUUAACUUGUAGGCGGCGAACGAAACGGUACGACUUGAGGUUUGGAGAGGUGCGUGGAACUCACGGUGUAGGGGUGAAAUCCGUUGAUAUCGUGGGGAACACCAAAGGCGAAGGCAGCGCACUGGCCAAAAUCUGACGCUCACACACGAAAGCUAGGGUAGCGAAGAGGAUUAGAUACCCACGUAGUCCCUGAGCGGGCUGGCAAGGC
Molecule: ribosomal RNA, 446 nt
Filed under: uncultured bacterium
Lineage: Bacteria
Description: bacterial SSU rRNA
Rfam family: Bacterial small subunit ribosomal RNA
Source: RNAcentral